AAAGUUCUUUUAUUUAGGAAAAAAAGCUUGAUAGGAAAUGAUUAAGCCUUGAUUGUACUAAAUGAAUAAGUGACAGCUAACUAUGUGCCAGCAGCUGCGGUAAAACAUAGGUCACGAGCAUUAUCCGGAUUUAUUGGGCGUAAAGGAAGCGUAGGCGGACAAAUUGAUCUAUUGUUAAAGGCACUUGCUCAACGAGUUGUUUGUGAUAGAUAUCGUUUGUCUAGAAUUAGUUAGGAGAUACUGGAAUUCAAUGUGUAGCGGUGGAAUGCGUAGAUAUAUUGAGGAACACCAGAGGCUAAGGCGAGUAUCUAGGACAUAAUUGACGCUGAGGCUUGAAAGCGUGGGGAGCAAAUGGGAUUAGAUACCCCAGUAGUCCACGCCGUAAACGAUGGGUAUUAGGUAUUUGGUCUAGGACUGAGUGCUGUAGCU
This 429-nucleotide ribosomal RNA is filed under the name Candidatus Mycoplasma haematominutum. RNAcentral's name for it is "bacterial SSU rRNA". It matches the Rfam family "Bacterial small subunit ribosomal RNA", at positions 427 to 853 of the family's 1533-position model. Lineage: Bacteria; Bacillati; Mycoplasmatota; Mollicutes; Mycoplasmatales; Mycoplasmataceae. The record is from RNAcentral.